This 464-nucleotide small RNA is filed under the name Pan troglodytes (chimpanzee). Its description in RNAcentral is "processed transcript". Lineage: Eukaryota; Metazoa; Chordata; Mammalia; Primates; Hominidae. The record is from RNAcentral.
AGUGGCUUUACCAUCCUGCCCUGCACGCGCUACUCCAUGGAGACCAACGGGGCCAAGAUCGUGUCCACUCGUGCUUGAGCUGCGGGAGGCAGAUGAGGGGCUGCUGAGGGCCGGUGAGAAUGACUUCAGCAUCAUGUACUCAACCCGCAAGCGGAGUGCUCAGCUGUGGCUGGGCCCAGCCGCCUUCAUCAACCAUGACUGCAAACCCAACUGCAAGUUUGUGCCUGCAGAUGGGAACGCAGCCUGCGUGAAGGUGCUCCGGGACAUUGAGCCUGGGGACGAGGUGACAUGCUUCUACGGCGAGGGCUUCUUCGGCGAGAAGAAUGAGCACUGUGAAUGCCACACCUGUGAGAGGAAAGGUGAAGGAGCUUUCCGAACCAGGCCUAGGGAGCCCACGUUGCCACCACGGCCCCUGGACAAGUACCAGCUGCGUGAGACCAAGCGGCGGCUGCAGCAAGGCCUGG